GAAUUCUGAACUUAUAAUGUUGAUUCUCCUCUAAUCCAAUAUAAUACCACUUGGUAAUUGUAUAGAGCUUGCACGUACUAUUGCAUUUGGUCCUUACAACCUGGCAAAAUAAAGCAGACCGUUUGUUGUAAUCCCCGUUUUGCAGACUUCUGAGAAGCAGAGUCUCAGAAACCCACACAAAAUCAUGUAGCUAAGUGGAAUGGUUCAGGCCGAGACCGAACAGACUUUCUGCCGCACCAGAAAGGAGACUUCUUCUCCAGAAGAACUGCAACAUCCUUGGAGAGACACCGAGAAAGAUCUGGUACACGUUCUUCUGACAUCUGGCAUAGAAAACAAUUAUACCUUUAUAUUACACAAGAAAAUAGCCGUGUCUUCGCUCUGUCUUUGGCUGACAGCUGAGGCGUGGACGUUUUAGUCAUUUUCCCCUCAUUGUAAAAAUAAAAGUUCUGUGAGAGAUCCAGGAUGCCCCCAGGAAGCUGAAGUCUUAUGAUUCUCUCCUUUGUCUCCAUAAAUGGAUCCAUUUAACCCUCCUCUAUGUUGGGUUUCAGAAGCCUUUCAUUUUAUCUGGAAGCACUGUGUUUUUCUGAGAAAAAGGAGUGAUCCCUUUACUGAA
This is a long non-coding RNA of Lontra canadensis (Northern American river otter), 613 nucleotides long. RefSeq lists it as uncharacterized. The transcript has 3 exons. The record is from RefSeq and is a predicted model, not a curated record. NCBI's taxonomy places the organism in Eukaryota, Metazoa, Chordata, Mammalia, Carnivora, Mustelidae.